RNAcentral lists this ribosomal RNA (253 nucleotides) under uncultured bacterium. Its description in RNAcentral is "partial 16S ribosomal RNA". It matches the Rfam family "Bacterial small subunit ribosomal RNA", at positions 524 to 776 of the family's 1533-position model. The record is from RNAcentral.
UACGAAGGGGGCUAGCGUUGCUCGGAAUGACUGGGCGUAAAGGGCGCGUAGGCGGCUUGCACCGUCAGAUGUGAAAUUCCUGGGCUUAACCUGGGGGCUGCAUUUGAUACGUGUGGGCUUGAGUGCGGAAGAGGGUCGUGGAAUUCCCAGUGUAGAGGUGAAAUUCGUAGAUAUUGGGAAGAACACCGGUGGCGAAGGCGGCAUCCUGGACCAACACUGACACUGAGGAGCGAAAGCCAGGGGAGCAAACGGG